GUCCUCUAUCCGAGGACAAUAUAUUAGAUUGAUUUUUGGAGCAGGGAGAUGGAAUAGGAGCUUGCUCUGUCCACUCCAUGCAUUGACCUGGUAUUGCAGUACUUCCAGGAAUGGUGC
RNAcentral lists this small nuclear RNA (117 nucleotides) under Echinops telfairi (small Madagascar hedgehog). Its description in RNAcentral is "U2 spliceosomal RNA (ENSETEG00000024222.1)". It matches the Rfam family "U2 spliceosomal RNA", at positions 67 to 185 of the family's 192-position model. From Rfam's summary of the family: U2 is a small nuclear RNA (snRNA) component of the spliceosome (involved in pre-mRNA splicing). Complementary binding between U2 snRNA (in an area lying towards the 5' end but 3' to hairpin I) and the branchpoint sequence (BPS) of the intron results the bulging out of an unpaired adenosine, on the BPS, which initiates a nucleophilic attack at the intronic 5' splice site, thus starting the first of two transesterification reactions that mediate splicing. Lineage: Eukaryota; Metazoa; Chordata; Mammalia; Afrosoricida; Tenrecidae. The record is from RNAcentral.